GACGAACGCUGGCGGCGUGCUUAACACAUGCAAGUCGAACGGAAAGGCCCUGCUUUUGUGGGGUGCUCGAGUGGCGAACGGGUGAGUAACACGUGAGUAACCUGCCCUUGACUGUGGGAUAACUUCAGGAAACUGGGGCUAAUACCGGAUAGGAGCUCCUGCUGCAUGGUGGGGGUUGGAAAGUUUCGGCGGUUGGGGAUGGACUCGCGGCUUAUGAGCUUGUUGGUGGGGUAGUGGCUUACCAAGGCUUUGACGGGUAGCCGGCCUGAGAGGGUGACCGGCCACAUUGGGACGGAAAUGCGGCCCAGACUCCUACGGGAGGCAGCAGUGGGGAAUAGUGCACAAUGGGCGGAAGCCUGAUGCAGCAACGCCGCGUGCGGGAUGACGGCCUUCGGGUUGUAAACCGCUUUCGCCUGUGACGAAGCGUGAGUGACGGUAAUGGGUAAAGAAGCACCGGCUAACUACGUG
Molecule: ribosomal RNA, 468 nt
Filed under: uncultured bacterium
Lineage: Bacteria
Description: partial 16S ribosomal RNA
Rfam family: Bacterial small subunit ribosomal RNA
Source: RNAcentral